RNAcentral lists this ribosomal RNA (253 nucleotides) under uncultured bacterium. Its description in RNAcentral is "partial 16S ribosomal RNA". It matches the Rfam family "Bacterial small subunit ribosomal RNA", at positions 524 to 776 of the family's 1533-position model. The record is from RNAcentral.
UACGUAGGGGGCAAGCGUUGUCCGGAAUUAUUGGGCGUAAAGAGCGUGUAGGCGGUCCGGUAAGUCAGCUGUGAAAGUCAAGGGCUCAACCCUUGAAAGCCGGUUGAUACUGUCGGGCUAGAGUCCGGAAGAGGCGAGUGGAAUUCCCGGUGUAGCGGUGAAAUGUGCAGAUAUCGGGAGGAACACCAAUGGCGAAGGCAGCUCGCUGGGACGGUACUGACGCUGAGACGCGAAAGCGUGGGGAGCAAACAGG